This is a long non-coding RNA of Bubalus bubalis (water buffalo), 2873 nucleotides long. RefSeq lists it as uncharacterized. Lineage: Eukaryota; Metazoa; Chordata; Mammalia; Artiodactyla; Bovidae. The record is from RefSeq and is a predicted model, not a curated record. The transcript is spliced from 4 exons.
CUUCUGCACCUCCCUCCCCUCCAAAAAGAGAGCCAGACUGCAAUACAAAUGGACUCCUCAAGGUCUAGGGAGUUCGUCUUUCUUAAGUCCUGGCCCUCAGUUCCCUAAGAUAGUUACUACUCUGCAGUUACAAGUGCGAGUUACCACCUAAAAUUGCCAACAGAAAUUAAGGUCCUGCGCAGCAAAACGUUUAUACCACUGCUGGGGCCACUCAGCAGGGUGUGGAGGCGGGGAGGGAGGAGGAGUAAAGGCUGUUUACAAACUUGACUUACACACGCAGCACUAUCAAGUAAGGUUCUGGAACUGUGGGUUACAGCCUUGGGAUCUGGGCACACUCUGAUGCUCUGGUUCCAGCACCUGACUUAUACGCACCCAGAUCAAACAACCUUUCCAAGAACAGAAGGAUUCCAGGAGUCCCGGGGCAGCGAUGACUCAUGCAGCACCCCCUGCCAUUUCGCCAAAUUGCCGUCUCCGCCCACCCCCAAUCUCAACGACGCACCGCGACUCUGGGAGCUUUGCUGGGGGCUAAAGGGGGUUCGUCUUCAUCCUCGCAUCCCAGCAGCCUAAACCUCCCUCCUCUCAGUCUACAAGCUUGCUUCCCUUCCCACCCGACCCCUCGGUUGAGCAGUGGAGAUAGAUGCGACAUCAACAUUUGGGACUCGCGAGCCACGAACAACAGGGCGCGAAGGGGGCAGCCAAGAGCCCUGGGGUUCAUGGAAAGUUUAUUCCUCAACACAGCGUUCCUGCUGCUGCUGCUAAGUCACUUCAGUCGUGUCCAACUCUGUGCGACCCCAUAGACGGCAGCCCACCAGGCUCCCCCGUCCCUGGGAUUCUCCAGGCAAGAACAUUGGAGUGGGUUGCCAUUUCCUGCUCCAAUGCAUGAAAGUGAAAAGUGAAAGUGAAGUCGCUCAGUUGUGUCCCGACUCUUCGCGAACCUGGAUGAUGGGUAGCGCGCCAGGCUCUUCUGUCCAUGGGAUUCUCCAGGCAAGAAUACUGGAGUGGAUUGACAUGCCCAGGGGUCGAACACGUGUCUUUCAUGUCUCCUGCAUCGGCAGAUUCUGAGCAGUAAUGAUGAGAAUGGCUGAAAUGACUACUGCAACAAGUUUUGAGAAAAGACCUCCAUUUGUCUGUUUCAUUUGAGAUGUCAAUAUGACAGAUUCAAGAGAACAAGGCAAGUAAAACAAAUGUGUAUAUGAAGAUUUUCAAAGAACAUGUCCAAUAAACUGAUCUAGUACUCUUGACAGACUGCUCUCCCUUCCUCCCCCAGCCCAUCCUUUGAGGUUAUCCAAAGAGGCCAGAGUGUGGAGAGUGAGACUGUGUGAACAGAUUGACAAAGAGGCUUUGUGGGUGAGAGUUCCUGCAUCUUGUGUGACUCUUCAUCUUGUUUGUGGUUUUCUUUUGUUUUUGGAGGAAGGGAAGGCAUUCUACCAUCUAACCCAGAGUCAAGAAACUGCAAUCUGCAAGUCAGAUCUGGUGUACUGCCUGGUUUGGUACAGUCAUGAGUUCAUAAUGGCUUUUACAUUUGUCAAAUGUAAAAUGUGCAGGGGAAUUAUAAAUAAUUUGUGACCAAUGAAAGUUCACUGUAACUCAAAUUUCAGUGUCCAUAAGUAAAAUGCUACUGAAGACACCCACCCAAUAUUUAAAUAACAUUACCUAUGGCUGCUUUGGCACUACAAUAAUGGAGGGUUCAUCUUUAUAGAAGUUUGCAGACCUCUGGUUUUACCAGAAGUCUGCUGGAAGGAGGUUUCAUGACACAGUUGAAGAACUUUGAAAUGUGUCCCCUGUGUUUGAGAGAUUUAGAUGACUGAUGUCUGAUUCAGGGCUGAAUCAACAAACAAAAAGGUCUGAAUCCCAACAAAAAUGGCCUGUAGCCCAGGGACUGCCUCCUUCCAGGGAAACCAAAGGCCAGAGAAGGGUCGCCCAGCUGCUCUGGUACAAGCUCUGGGAGAAGGCUGCUGUGCUGCAUGUUGGGGAAUGGAUGCAUGAGCAUUUCCUAAGGAUAAGAUUUGGGACAUAUGAGAGAGCACUGGUGUGGAAGUGCUGCCUUUUUGGCUGCCUGGGAAGAACAAGAGGAAGAAGCAGAGUUGGAUGUGCUCCCCUGGAGGCCUAAGAGUUAAGGACACAUUCACAAGGGACCAUCUGAAAGAGCCAUUGCUUUACUUUUUUGCCAGUGCUGAAGUUGCCUGGCCAAGUACCAGCCUUUCUAUCCUGCUCUGAGACAGAAUUUAACAAAGAGAAGGUGACAGGGAAGGCAAGAGGUGACAAAAGCUAGUCAUUCCCUAUCCAUUCUCUGCAGCUUUAAGAUUACCUUCACUAAUCUGAAUUAAGUUUAAAGAGAUAGUGGAAAUGGAGAGCUUUGUUUUAUUAAUGGCGGGAGCCAUGCAUAUCCAAUCUUCCAUUUACAGGAUUUAACUGAUCAGUUCCAAUAUACCAGGGCUCUAUAGCAUAUUGUCAUUUAUUAUGACAACUCUAUGAGACUGAUAUUAAUAUACCCAUUUUAUGGGUGAAGAAAUUAAGGUUCAGAGUUUGAAUGAUAUACCCAAGGUCUCAUGCCAUUGAGUGGCAGAGCCAGGAUUUAGUCUAUUGGAUGUUCAAAUGCAUCCUCUUUUCAUUGUACCUUGGGGAAUUUUAUCUUAGAAAUUAUAGUUUUGAUGCUAUAUUUGUAUCCAGAGCCCAUAGUGUGCAUCAUGCACUAUUGCUGUGAAGAAAUAAACAUUCAGUCAAGUUAACUUAAAAGACAGGGGUGUAUUUCAAUGUUCACUGAAGCACUAGUUACACUAGCCAAGACAUGGAAGCAACCUGAGUGUCCACAGACAGAUGAAUGGAUAAAGAAGAUGUGGUAUACAUAUACAAUGGGAUAUUACUCAGCCAUA